GGAUUAGAUACCCUGGUAGUCCACGCCGUAAACGAUGAUAACUAGCUGUUCGGGCACUUAGUGCCUGAGUGGCGCAGCUAACGCAUUAAGUUAUCCGCCUGGGGAGUACGGUCGCAAGAUUAAAACUCAAAGGAAUUGACGGGGGCCUGCACAAGCGGUGGAGCAUGUGGUUUAAUUCGAAGCAACGCGCAGAACCUUACCAGCGUUUGACAUGGUAGGACGGCUUCCAGAGAUGGAUUCCUUCCCUUCGGGGACCUACACACAGGUGCUGCAUGGCUGUCGUCAGCUCGUGCCG
This 295-nucleotide ribosomal RNA is filed under the name uncultured bacterium. RNAcentral's name for it is "partial 16S ribosomal RNA". It matches the Rfam family "Bacterial small subunit ribosomal RNA", at positions 775 to 1067 of the family's 1533-position model. The record is from RNAcentral.